GAAAUGCGAUAAGUAAUGUGAAUUGCAGAAUUCAGUGAAUCAUCGAAUCUUUGAACGCACAUUGCGCCCGCCAGUAUUCUGGCGGGCAUGCCUGUUCGAGCGUCAUUUCAACCAUCAAGCCCCCGGCUUGUGUUGGGGACCUGCGGCUGCCCGCAGGCCCUGAAAAACAGUGGCGGGCUCGCUGUCACACCGAGCGUAGUAGCAUACAUUCUCGCUCAGGGCGUGCUGCGGGUUCCGGCCGUUAAACGACCUUCAUAACCCAAGGUUGACCUCGGAGCAGGUAGGAAGACCCGCUGAACUUAAGC
This 305-nucleotide unclassified non-coding RNA is filed under the name plant metagenome. RNAcentral describes it as "partial contains 5.8S ribosomal RNA, internal transcribed spacer 2, and large subunit ribosomal RNA". The stretch from base 1 to 105 matches the Rfam family "5.8S ribosomal RNA", at positions 50 to 154 of the family's 154-position model. The record is from RNAcentral.